This 263-nucleotide ribosomal RNA is filed under the name uncultured bacterium. RNAcentral's name for it is "partial 16S ribosomal RNA". It matches the Rfam family "Bacterial small subunit ribosomal RNA", at positions 526 to 779 of the family's 1533-position model. The record is from RNAcentral.
CAGAGGGUGCAAGCGUUAAUCGGAAUUACUGGGCGUAAAGCGCGCGUAGGUGGUUCGUUAAGUUGGAUGUGAAAUCCCCGGGCGUCAACCUAGGGACGUAGCAUUCUAAAACUAGUCGAGCUAGAGUAUGGUAGAGGGUGGUGGAAUUUCCUGUGUAGCGGUGAAAUAGCGUAGAUAUAGGAAGGAACACCAGUGGCGAAGGACGACCACCUGGACUGAUACUGACACUGAGGUGCGAAAGACGUGGGGGAGCAAACAGGAUU